AGUGAACGCUGGCGGUAGGCCUAACACAUGCAAGUCGAAUGGCAGCACAGUAAGAGCUUGCUCUUACGGGUGGCGAGUGGCGGACGGGUGAGGAAUACAUCGGAAUCUACUUUUUCGUGGGGGAUAACGUAGGGAAACUUACGCUAAUACCGCAUACGACCUACGGGUGAAAGCAGGGGAUCUUCGGACCUUGCGCGAUUGAAUGAGCCGAUGUCGGAUUAGCUAGUUGGCGGGGUAAAGGCCCACCAAGGCGACGAUCCGUAGCUGGUCUGAGAGGAUGAUCAGCCACACUGGAACUGAGACACGGUCCAGACUCCUACGGGAGGCAGCAGUGGGGAAUAUUGGACAAUGGGCGCAAGCCUGAUCCAGCCAUACCGCGUGGGUGAAGAAGGCCUUCGGGUUGUAAAGCCCUUUUGUUGGGAAAGGAAAGCAGCAGGUUAAUACCCCGCUGUUCUGACGGUACCCAAAGAAUAAGCACCGGCUAACUUCGUG
This 492-nucleotide ribosomal RNA is filed under the name uncultured bacterium. Its description in RNAcentral is "partial 16S ribosomal RNA". It matches the Rfam family "Bacterial small subunit ribosomal RNA", at positions 29 to 507 of the family's 1533-position model. The record is from RNAcentral.